GAUGAACGCUGGCGGCGUGCCUAAUACAUGCAAGUCGAGCGAGCAGACGAGGAGCUUGCUCCUUUGACGUUAGCGGCGGACGGGUGAGUAACACGCAGGUAACCUACCUAUAAGACUGGGAUAACUUCGGGAAACCGGAGCUAAUACCGGAUAAUAUUUCGAACCGCAUGGUUCGAUAGUGAAAGAUGGCUUUGCUAUCACUUAUAGAUGGACCUGCGCCGUAUUAGCUAGUUGGUAAGGUAACGGCUUACCAAGGCAACGAUACGUAGCCGACCUGAGAGGGUGAUCGGCCACACUGGAACUGAGACACGGUCCAGACUCCUACGGGAGGCAGCAGUAGGGAAUCUUCCGCAAUGGGCGAAAGCCUGACGGAGCAACGCCGCGUGAGUGAUGAAGGUCUUCGGAUCGUAAAACUCUGUUAUUAGGGAAGAACAAACGUGUAAGUAACUGUGCACGUCUUGACGGUACCUAAUCAGAAAGCCACGGCUAACUACGUG
Molecule: ribosomal RNA, 497 nt
Filed under: uncultured bacterium
Lineage: Bacteria
Description: partial 16S ribosomal RNA
Rfam family: Bacterial small subunit ribosomal RNA
Source: RNAcentral